AGAGUUUGAUGGUGGCUCAGAACGAACGCUGGCGGCGUGUUUAAGACAUGCAAGUCGUACGAGGAAUCCAUGAAGCUUGCUUUGAGGAUUCCUAGUGGCGCACGGGUGAGUAACACGUGAGUUACAUGCCCUGCAGUGGGGAAUAGCCCGCCGAAAGGCGGAUUAAUACCCCAUGGUACCGCAAGGUUAAAGGUGGCUUCGGCUGCCGCUGCAGGAUUGGCUCGCGUCCUAUCAGCUUGUUGGUGAGGUAACGGCUCACCAAGGCUACGACGGGUACCUGGUCUGAGAGGACGAUCAGGCACACUGGAACUGAGACACGGUCCAGACACCUACGGGUGGCAGCAGUCGAGAAUAAUUCACAAUGGACGAAAGUCUGAUGGUGCAACGCCGCGUGGAGGAUGACGGUCCUCGGAUUGUAAACUCCUGUCAUCGGGGAGUAAGACCUGGGCAUUAAUAGUGCACAGGGUUGAUAGUACCCGAAGAGGAAGGGACGGCUAACUUCGUGCCAGCAGCCGCGGUAAUACGAAGGUCCCGAGCGUUGUUCGGAAUCACUGGGCGUAAAGGGAGCGUAGGCGGUGUGGUAAGUCAGAUGUGAAAUCCCGGGGCUCAACCUCGGAACUGCAUCCGAUACUGCCACACUCGAGUAGUGGAGGGGUAGAUGGAAUUCUCGGUGUAGCAGUGAAAUGCGUAGAUAUCGAGAGGAACACUCAUGGCGAAGGCAAUCUACUGGACACUUACUGACGCUGAGGCUCGAAGGCCAGGGUAGCGAAAGGGAUUAGAUACCCCUGUAGUCCUGGCAGUAAACGGUGUGCGCUUGGUGUGAGGGGGUUUCGACCCCCCCUUGUGCCGGAGCUAACGCGUUAAGCGCACCGCCUGGGAAGUACGGUCGCAAGACUAAAAACUCAAAGAAAUUGACGGGGGACCCGCACAAGCGGG
Molecule: ribosomal RNA, 936 nt
Filed under: uncultured bacterium
Lineage: Bacteria
Description: bacterial SSU rRNA
Rfam family: Bacterial small subunit ribosomal RNA
Source: RNAcentral